UACGUAGGGUGCGAGCGUUAAUCGGAAUUACUGGGCGUAAAGCGUGCACAGGCGGUUCGUGAUGUCUGGUGUGAAAGCCCCGGGCUUAACCUGGGAAUUGCAUUGGAAACUAGCGGGCUGGAGUGUGGCAGAGGGGGGUGGAAUUCCACGUGUAGCAGUGAAAUGCGUAGAGAUGUGGAGGAACACCGAUGGCGAAGGCAGCCCCCUGGGCUAACACUGACGCUCAUGCACGAAAGCGUGGGGAGCAAACAGG
RNAcentral lists this ribosomal RNA (253 nucleotides) under uncultured bacterium. RNAcentral describes it as "partial 16S ribosomal RNA". It matches the Rfam family "Bacterial small subunit ribosomal RNA", at positions 524 to 776 of the family's 1533-position model. The record is from RNAcentral.